AUGGAAGGGGUGACUGCACCAAUGUCACUGCUCGACGCUCUGCGCUCAAAACUUGUCAGGCUUGACUUUCCUUGUUGACGCAAUACACGGAGGGGAUGUGCCGCAACACUGCAGCUAAAGCAGGGAGGAUGUAGGCACUUGCACAGCCAUACCAGUGACAAAUGUAAUGGCUGCACCGCUUGUUUGGGUGGAACAAAAGCAGGGGGAUGUGGGCACUUGCACAGCCAUACCAGUGACAUGUAACCCAGUGGGCAAAUGUCACGUAAUUCACGUGGAAUACACGUGGAUCCUGCACGUGGAUUACUCAUGGAUAUUUGAUGGAAAAUGCAAAAUCGAAUUCACGUGAAAAUGAACACGUGGAAUACACGUGUACAAAUUCACGUGUAAUACACGGUAAUAUCUGGUGGAAUAAUCCAUGUGUUUAUUUAUCCGCUGCAUUAUCGUGCUCUGGUAAUCUGCAUGUCAUCAGUGCAUCCAGUCUCUCAGUAUAUGUUUCUGUAUCAUUUACGUAAGCUAUAGUCGAAUAGGCUAUUAUAAACAGAAACAUAUCCUUUACGAGACCGCACAUUGUUGACAGGCAGGCUGGUAGAGCACGAUAAUGCAGCCUUCACACUUGUUGAAUGCAACCAUAGUACUGUGCAAUUUCAGAAUACAAGGUAGGCAUGUAAAAAAUACAAGUAAUACAGAAAGUGUGUAUAUAUAUAUUCUUCAGUCUUACACUUUUUCAUAAAUUUAAUAAUCUUCAUCCUUGUAAAAAUAUCAAAACCAAAAUAAUUUCCAUAUUUUAUGAAAAAAAAAAAAAGUUAGUGCUUGCAUUUUUAUAUAUAAAGGCUUUCAAGAUAUCUGACUUGAAUGAAGAAUAACUGCAAUAUAUAAAUGGAUGAUCCCAGUAAUACAAAAAAUUAAAACUUUGUUUAGCCACAAUCCAUCCAUAGCCUGACACCUGCUCCUAUGCAUUACCUCCCCAUGCCAUGGUCCAGAACAGCAGAAACCACCCUUGAACUGUGAGGGUGACCAUCCGCCAUCCCGGGCCACGACUCAAUAAAUGGGUUCCCAUGGCACUUGUGCCUAGCAUUAUCCCUGGGCAUGUGCCACAAGUGGGACUAUAAAAGGUAGAGAAGAAUGGGCAGAUCCCCAGCCUAGUGUCACCCUAAACAGUAGAGGUAUAUAGAACAAGAGAAAGACAGAAAUGGCUAUGGGAAGUAAAGGACACCAACCCUCACUCUGACAAAGAGUCAGCCCACCACUCGGAAAAGUAAGAGAACGUAAAAGAAAAUGGACAGAAAGCAAAGGGAAAUGAGAAGGGAAAAUAUGUCAAGCGGUAAAAAGACCUGCUAUGGGCUAGUAAAAGAGAUCCCCACCCAGGGCCAGAAUCAGUCGCCUCUUACGGCACACAGCCGACAUGGAGAGGGCUACAUUCUAGUAUCUAUGUAGCCCCAGGGGGAAUAUAUGCAAAGAAUACCAGGCCUGCCACAAGUACACAAUAUGCUUAAAACAAUACAGACCACAGUUGUCAAUGAAAUUAAGCAUUUUGUGAAUUGAUACUUGUGUAGCUCCAUACUUUUUCAUUUACGUAAAAAUACAUGGGAACCUAAGUGGUAGGCAAAAGCAAAAUUAUAAAUUAAAAUGUUAUAUCUAUUACUAAAUUACAAAAUAAAUAACUGUUAAUAAUACUAGUUUGCUUUUAUAAUCUGAGAUCAUUAAUAUCAUCUCACAUAAAUAUCAUGAGGUAAUAUCCCAAUCGGUUCAAAUUUUACAGCAGUAAGUCUCUCUCCACAUCUUAAAACCAUUCUUAAGCUUGAAUCCCAUAACGACAAGUUGAAAGAACCAGGACCAGGUUAGCGUGGUGGCGGGAACAGCUUGUCUGAGGUUCGGUUCUCGGCGGUCCUGGUUCUUUCAUUCUUAAGCUUCUCUAACAUCCCCCCUUAUACUGUUUACACAUCAAUAAAUUUUGUCAUUCUGAUAGAAAAAGAGCUUCUUUAAGAGAGAGAGAGAGAGAGGGGGGAGGAAGGGAAAUGUACACAUAGUUACAAUAUAUAAGGUCAUCUGUGUACAAUCAGUCAUGAGAUAAAUUUACCAGCAUUUUUUUAGUAACAUACAAAAUGAAAAUACUUUAUCUAGUCAUGCAUGAGACAAAG
This is a long non-coding RNA of Scylla paramamosain (green mud crab), 2138 nucleotides long. RefSeq lists it as uncharacterized. Lineage: Eukaryota; Metazoa; Arthropoda; Malacostraca; Decapoda; Portunidae. The transcript is spliced from 3 exons. The record is from RefSeq and is a predicted model, not a curated record.